AGUCCUGGGAAACUGGGUUUAAUACCGUAUGGUGUCUACGGACUAAAGAUUUAUCGGCAAAGGAUCGGCCCGCGUUGGAUUAGGUAGUUGGUGGGGUAAUGGCCUACCAAGCCGACGAUCCAUAGCUGGUUUGAGAGGAUAAUCAGCCACGCUGGGACUGAGACACGGCCCAGACUCCUACGGGAGGCAGCAGUGGGGAAUCUUAGACAAUGGGGGCAACCCUGAUCUAGCCAUGCCGCGUGAGCGAUGAAGGCCUUAGGGUUGUAAAGCUCUUUCGCUGGGGAAGAUAAUGACGGUACCCAGUAAAGAAGCCCCGGCUAACUCCGUGCCAGCAGCCGCGGUAAUACGGAGGGGGCUAGCGUUGUUCGGAAUUACUGGGCGUAAAGCGCGCGUAGGCGGACUGGAAAGUUGGGGGUGAAAUCCCGGGGCUCAACCCCGGAACUGCCUCCAAAACUAUCAGUCUGGAGUUCGAGAGAGGUGAGUGGAAUUGCGAGUGUAGAGGUGAAAUUCGUAGAUAUUCGCAGGAACACCAGUGGCGAAGGCGGCUCACUGGCUCGAUACUGACGCUGAGGUGCGAAAGUGUGGGGAGCAAACAGGAUUAGAUACCCUGGUAGUCCACACCGUAAACGAUGAAUGCCAGACGUCGGGUAGCAUGCUGCUCGGUGUCACACCUAACG
RNAcentral lists this ribosomal RNA (677 nucleotides) under uncultured bacterium. RNAcentral describes it as "bacterial SSU rRNA". It matches the Rfam family "Bacterial small subunit ribosomal RNA", at positions 145 to 857 of the family's 1533-position model. The record is from RNAcentral.